Molecule: non-coding RNA, 78 nt
Organism: Podarcis lilfordi (Lilford's wall lizard)
Lineage: Eukaryota; Metazoa; Chordata; Lepidosauria; Squamata; Lacertidae
Source: the annotation of a GenBank genome assembly
GGGGAUGGGACCAUGGCUUAGGGGUAGAGCAUCUGCUUUGCAUGCAGAAGGUCCCAAGUUCAAUCCUUGGCACCGGCA